Molecule: long non-coding RNA, 3417 nt
Organism: Chroicocephalus ridibundus (black-headed gull)
Lineage: Eukaryota; Metazoa; Chordata; Aves; Charadriiformes; Laridae
Exons: 3
Source: RefSeq, a predicted model, not a curated record
GUCUGUUCUGGGGGGGCUCUGGGGUGGGUUUGAUGUCCCCAAAAAGGCCAAAGGGGACCCCGGGCGGCUCUGCGGGUCAUCAAGUGGUCGCAGCACCCAGGUUGGGGGACGGGGUUGGAGGGAGUUUGGGGUUUUUUCCACCGAGUGAAAUCCUGAGAGCGGCCCUGGCUGGGCCGGGUUUCCCUGAGCUCCGUAAGGGUCGGGGGCAGCGGGGGCGCUCGUAACCGGCUAUGAGAAUCAUGGGAUCAUGGAAGGGUUUGGGUGGGAAGGGACCUUAAAGACCAUCUAGUCCCACCCCCUGCCCUGGGCAGGGACAUCUUCCAGAGAAGGGGAGACCUUCUGGGUUGGAGACCUCUGUGUCCGGACCUCUAUGUGCGUUUCUUCAAGGUCUUUUCCAGAACCUGUCCACGAUAUUACUGGAGUUGGACCUAAAUUAUUUGGAUUUUCAGUGAUUGUGCCUUCCUGAUGGAUGCGUUACACGCAGCAGGGUACCUCAGAAAAGGCAGGAAAUCUCUCUUUACUUAGUUUUACAUAAAGCCAGCACUAUAAUCUAAUGUUAUUGUGAUGCAAAUAAAGUUAUGUUAAACCAACGGCAUCCGGUACCCUGUUUACUGCCGUGUCAUGUCAUUAAUAUUUGAAGACUAAAGGGCGAAUAGUGGCUUUUUAGAGCCCUUACUCUAAAAGGUCUUUUCUUCCCCUUUAAUCAUCAUCUGCCUCCUUAGCGGCCGAGCACAGGGGAGCUUUUGUGGCUGGAAGCGAAGGCAUUUGUAGCAGUGAAGAGAGAACUCGGGUGGACGGUGACUGACUCUCCCAGCGCUAGAAGCCCUCGCCGAGGGUGUUCGCAGGGCUCCUGAAGGGACCGACGAGCUCAAGGAGGAGAAAUCCAGGUGGGCAAAUUCCGUGGGUGUUUGGCAGCUGCCGGUGAAGAGUCUUGUCCUUGGGUUCAGCCUCUGCAGCAGCAGCAGCUGGAGAACAACCGGGACUCCGCGGGACAGACCUGAGCCAGAGCGAGGGGUGCAGCAGGGCACAGUGCUGCGGCUUGAUGGGAGAAUAUGAAUAACAGUGGGCUGCUAGAAAGUGAAGAAAAGGCUCUUCCAUCAGGAGAUGCCACCCAGCCUGGGAGCGAGGAGUCUCCUGAGUCACCGCUGCCCCCAAGCCCUGAGUCCGGGGGGUUCCCCUGGUCCUGCCGCGGCGUCUGUUUCGGGGUAAGCAUUUCUGCUGAUGGCAGGAAACGCCUGGAGAACAUCGUGUGGGUCCGGGGAGGAAAUAGCAGAGAUAAAGCGUAGACAUUGUCUGGCGAGAGAGGGAGUUUUUCCUCUGGGCGUUGUCUGGCGUUACAAGAUACCAUCAAGCCUUUGUCAUGAGGAAAUAUGCAAAAUCCAUAUUGCCGUUUGAGAGGAAACUCAAGGAGGCUUCGGUAGCUGCAGAGACUGAGCUGAGAAAACCAGUGACGAGCAGCAGCAGGUUUCUUCUGGCAGCUGGAGAGAAAGUUCUGGAGCACUUUGAAAUGGUACAGGAAGAAACCAAAAAAAUGUGCUCUUUUUUUUUAUGACCUGCAGCAUUAGUUAUGAUGAGAGAUUACGGAACUGCUUUCACUGAUAAUUUUUAAAAUAGAGUAAUAGCUACUGAACGUGGGCUGUUUGGGCAGCUUGAUCCUUUCCUGGUGUGCAGGUUUGGCCUUGAUGUCAUAGAAUCACAGACUGGUUUGGGUGGGAAGGGACCUUAAAGGCCACCCAGUGCCACCCCCUGCCCUGGGCAGGGACACCUCCCACCAGCCCAGCUUGCUCCAAGCCCCGGCCAACCUAACCUUAGCUCUUGAGCAGAAUCACAGAAACAUAGAAUUGCCCGGGGUGGAAGGGACCUUUCAGAUCAUCGAGUCCAACCGUCAACCCAACACUGCCAAGCCCACCACUACCCCGUGUCCCUCAGCACCACGUCUGCCCGGCUUUUAAAUCCCUCCAGGGAUGGCGACUCCACCACUGCUCUGGGCAGCCUGGUCCAAGGCUUGAUGACCCUUUCCAUGAAGACAUUGUUCCUCAUAUCCAUCCUAAACCUCCCCUGGCACAACUUGAGGCCGUUUCCUCUUGUCCCAUGGCCUGUUCCUUGGGAGAAGAGACCGACCCCCCCUGGCUACCCCCUCCUUUCAGGGAGCUGUAGAGAGUGAGAAGGUCUCCCCUCAGCCUCCUUUUCUCCAGGCUGAACACCCCCAGCUCCCUCAGCCGCUCCUCACAAGAGUAGGGUUGUUUUUCCCUUGGUCUCAAGCCUGGUGCGAUUUCAAGGCUCCUGUCUAUCCUCUACGGAGAAUUGGGGUGAAUAGAGAAAUUCUCUGAGAACUGGAAUGGGGCUAACGCAACUCCGGUCUUCCAGAAGGAAAAGGAGAGCGUGGAGGGUUACGGACGGGUCAGCCUCAGCCUGCAGAGAGCACGGAGCACGUCCUCCUGUGAUCCCUGUCUCCAAACAGAUGAAGCACAGGAAGGCAAACAAGAGCAGCCAACGUGGAUUUUGCCAACAGCAGAUUGUGCUUGACCAAGCACCGAGUUAAGGCUUUAAGUGCUGUAAAGCAGUAGCCCAUUAAAUGUUUUGUCUGUUACCUUCUUGACAUCCCUCCUGUUAACGUCUCAUUAGAUCUUUCAGGGAUUGUUAACGGCCCUGGUGAUGAGGUUUUCUGAAGCGGUGGCUUAACGUAUUCCCGGCCCAGACUCAGCUCCUCUCAGCUCCACAGAGGCAUGGGACAGGGCGUGGGGAAUGCCAGUGCUGCCAGAAAUCUCCCCCACCUGCAUUCCUUGGAGCAGCAGGAGCUCCCCACGCCGCUUGUUGGAGGUUUUUUCUGUCCGGGUUUUUCUCAUCAUACCCAAAACUCACCCCGAGGGAGCUUGCUCCGAAGUCUGGUACCCCCGUGCUUGACCAGGAACCAAAACCUCCGGUGAGUCAGUGCUGCCAGACAGGGAGAAACGGCUUCUAGCAGUGCAAAGGGCUCUAUCUGGGCUUGGUCUUUUUCUUCAAGGGGGCGUGGGCGCCUCUAAGAGAGUUUUGCGGCAGGAAUGAGAGCAUGGGGCAGGGAGCAGGUGGGAAGGUGCUGGAAACCCCGGCUGGUGCCGUCCUGGGAAUAAUUCUCCGCCUGGCUGGUGCAUCGUUGUCCUGAGAGCAACCUUCCAGUCCCUCAAGGGGCUCCAGGAAAGCUGGGGAGGGACUCUGGAUGAGGGAGGGGAGCCAUGGGACGAGGGGGAAGGGGUUUCCACUGCAAGAGGGGAGAUUGAGCUGAGAUCUCGGGCAGAAAUUCUCGGCUGUGAGGGCGGUGAGCCCCUGGCCCAGGUUGGCCAGAGAAGCUGUGGCUGCCCCAUCCCUGGAGGGGUUCAAGGCCAGGUUGGCCGGGGCUUGGAGCAAGCUGGGCUGGUGGGAGGUGUCCCUGCCCAGGGC